This 253-nucleotide ribosomal RNA is filed under the name uncultured bacterium. RNAcentral's name for it is "partial 16S ribosomal RNA". It matches the Rfam family "Bacterial small subunit ribosomal RNA", at positions 524 to 776 of the family's 1533-position model. The record is from RNAcentral.
GACGUAGGGCGCGAGCGUUGUCCGGAAUUACUGGGCGUAAAGCGCGCGUAGGUGGUUCGUUAAGUUGGAUGUGAAAUCCCCGGGCUCAACCCGGGAACUGCGUCCGAUACUGGCAGGCUUGAAUCCGGGAGAGGGAUGCGGAAUUCCAGGUGUAGCGGUGAAAUGCGUAGAUAUCUGGAGGAACACCGGUGGCGAAGGCGGCAUCCUGGACCGGCAUUGACGCUGAGGCGCGAAAGCUAGGGGAGCAAACGGG